GCCAGUGACCAUUUGGCACCAGGCAGCCUCUACAAGCUUCCUUCUGUGGGCCUAGCACAUAGGAGCACAUGUGUAUUGGCCCUUGUUAUUUCAAAAUAUUGCAGGCCUGGGUGGAUUCAUGGGCUAAAUCACUACCGAUUAUCCUUCAAGUUCCACCUUCAAGACUGACUGUAGGUUUCAUUUCCAAGAGCAGAGGUGACCCUUCCACACGGCGAGGAGAGGCGAUUGCCUCAGGUGGCAGAUUAUUGAGGCAUGGACUGUGAACUCCGAACAUCAAGCAACACAGGAACAAAAUAUGUUGGAACCUUAUAUGUGACUUAAGAAGGCACCCAUUCAAGGUGUGUGCAUGGAAAGGGCUCUUAUAUCAGAAAGAUAGAAGCCCCAUU
Molecule: long non-coding RNA, 386 nt
Organism: Hemicordylus capensis (graceful crag lizard)
Lineage: Eukaryota; Metazoa; Chordata; Lepidosauria; Squamata; Cordylidae
Exons: 3
Source: RefSeq, a predicted model, not a curated record